GACGAACGCUGGCGGCGUGCUUAACACAUGCAAGUCGAACGGAAAGGCCUAGCUUGCUAGGUACUCGAGUGGCGAACGGGUGAGUAACACGUGGGUGAUCUGCCUCGUACUUCGGGAUAAGCCUGGGAAACUGGGUCUAAUACUGGAUAGGACCAUGCUUUAGUGUGUGUGGUGGAAAGUUUUUUCGGUACGAGAUGAGCCCGCGGCCUAUCAGCUUGUUGGUGGGGUAAUGGCCUACCAAGGCGUCGACGGGUAGCCGGCCUGAGAGGGUGGACGGCCACAUUGGGACUGAGAUACGGCCCAGACUCCUACGGGAGGCAGCAGUGGGGAAUAUUGCACAAUGGGCGCAAGCCUGAUGCAGCGACGCCGCGUGGGGGAUGACGGCCUUCGGGUUGUAAACCUCUUUCGCUAGGGACGAAGCUUUUGUGACGGUACCUAGAUAAGAAGCACCGGCUAACUACGUGCCAGCAGCCGCGGUAAUACGUAGGGUGCGAGCGUUGUCCGGAAUUACUGGGCGUAAAGAGCUCGUAGGUGGUUUGUCGCGUCGUCUGUGAAAUUCCGGGGCUUAACUCCGGGCGUGCAGGCGAUACGGGCAUAACUUGAGUGCUGUAGGGGAGACUGGAAUUCCUGGUGUAGCGGUGGAAUGCGCAGAUAUCAGGAGGAACACCGAUGGCGAAGGCAGGUCUCUGGGCAGUAACUGACGCUGAGGAGCGAAAGCAUGGGGAGCGAACAGGAUUAGAUACCCUGGUAGUCCAUGCCGUAAACGGUGGGCGCUAGGUGUGAGGGUCUUCCACGACUUUCGUGCCGUAGCUAACGCAUUAAGCGCCCCGCCUGGGGAGUACGGCCGCAAGGCUAAAACUCAAAGGAAUUGACGGGGGCCCGCACAAGCGGCGGAGCAUGUGGAUUAAUUCGAUGCAACGCGAAGAACCUUACCUGGGCUUGACAUAUGCAGGAUCGGCGUAGAGAUACGUUUUCCCUUGUGGUCUGUAUACAGGUGGUGCAUGGUUGUCGUCAGCUCGUGUCGUGAGAUGUUGGGUUAAGUCCCGCAACGAGCGCAACCCUUGUCUUAUGUUGCCAGCAUGUUAUGGUGGGGACUCAUGAGAGACUGCCGGGGUUAACUCGGAGGAAGGUGGGGAUGACGUCAAAUCAUCAUGCCCCUUAUGUCCAGGGCUUCACACAUGCUACAAUGGUCGGUACAACGCGCUGCGAGCCUGUGAGGGUGAGCGAAUCGCUGAAAGCCGGCCUCAGUUCGGAUUGGGGUCUGCAACUCGACCCCAUGAAGUCGGAGUCGCUAGUAAUCGCAGAUCAGCAACGCUGCGGUGAAUACGUUCCCGGGCCUUGUACACACCGCCCGUCACGUCAUGAAAGUUGGUAACACCCGAAGCCAGUGGCCUAACCUUUGUGGGAGGAGCUGUCGAAGGUGGGAUCGGCGAUUGGGACG
This 1441-nucleotide ribosomal RNA is filed under the name Corynebacterium diphtheriae. RNAcentral describes it as "bacterial SSU rRNA". It matches the Rfam family "Bacterial small subunit ribosomal RNA". Lineage: Bacteria; Bacillati; Actinomycetota; Actinomycetes; Mycobacteriales; Corynebacteriaceae. The record is from RNAcentral.